Molecule: microRNA precursor, 94 nt
Organism: Gorilla gorilla gorilla (western lowland gorilla)
Lineage: Eukaryota; Metazoa; Chordata; Mammalia; Primates; Hominidae
Source: Ensembl
GCUGGGCGUGGUGGCGGGCGCCUGUGAUCCCAGCUACUCAGGAAGCUGAGGCAGGAGAAUGGCUUGAACCCAGGAGGCGGAGCUUGCAGUGAGC